This 51-nucleotide ribosomal RNA is filed under the name Zieria smithii. RNAcentral describes it as "partial 26S ribosomal RNA". The record is from RNAcentral. Lineage: Eukaryota; Viridiplantae; Streptophyta; Magnoliopsida; Sapindales; Rutaceae.
GCGACCCCAGGUCAGGCGGGACUACCCGCUGAAUUUAAGCAUAUCAAUAAG